Long non-coding RNA from Passer domesticus (house sparrow), 448 nucleotides. RefSeq lists it as uncharacterized. NCBI's taxonomy places the organism in Eukaryota, Metazoa, Chordata, Aves, Passeriformes, Passeridae. The transcript has 3 exons. The record is from RefSeq and is a predicted model, not a curated record.
UGCUCUCUGGCUGUUGCUUUAAUUUGUUCUCUUUUGUUCCCACUUCAUACCAGCUCCUGUUUGUGAGCACCACCACGUCACAGACUGGUAAGGGAUCUUUGGGAGUGAGAGUUCUCCUUGGAAAUCUGAACAAAACUCAGCCUUCGUGACACCAGCACACAAUGGCUCUGACUAAAGCCAAGGAUUGGAAGAGAAGCCUUUUGUUUCCAAAACAAUCUGGUUUUAAGAGAUGUUUAGGUUCUAUUUCAGGGCAGAAGUGCUUGGAGAGAGUCCUUAAUGCUCUCCUCCUUUCUCAUGAGAUGAACAAGAUAAAUAGUCAUAGCUGUUGUCACUCUGGAAAAAAAAAGAUAAAGCAGAGCAGGUGGUUCAGAGAGCCUGUGACAGCUGCUUGGCCAGUGGCUGUUCAAUGAUGAGCAUUUACAGCUCCAGAUAACUAGCCAACCUCCUC